This 564-nucleotide ribosomal RNA is filed under the name uncultured Bacilli bacterium. Its description in RNAcentral is "bacterial SSU rRNA". It matches the Rfam family "Bacterial small subunit ribosomal RNA", at positions 44 to 574 of the family's 1533-position model. The record is from RNAcentral. Lineage: Bacteria; Bacillati; Bacillota; Bacilli.
GUGCCUAAUACAUGCAAGUCGAGCGAGCGGAACCAACAGAUUUACUUCGGUAAUGACGUUGGGAAAGCGAGCGGCGGAUGGGUGAGUAACACGUGGGGAACCUGCCCCUAAGUCUGGGAUACCAUUUGGAAACAGGUGCUAGUACCGGAUAAUAAAGCAGAUCGCAUGAUCAGCUUUUGAAAGGCGGCGUAAGCUGUCGCUAAGGGAUGGCCCCGCGGUGCAUUAGCUAGUUGGUAAGGUAACGGCUUACCAAGGCGACGAUGCAUAGCCGAGUUGAGAGACUGAUCGGCCACAUUGGGACUGAGACACGGCCCAAACUCCUACGGGAGGCAGCAGUAGGGAAUCUUCCACAAUGGACGCAAGUCUGAUGGAGCAACGCCGCGUGAGUGAAGAAGGUUUUCGGAUCGUAAAGCUCUGUUGUUGGUGAAGAAGGAUAGAGGUAGUAACUGGCCUUUAUUUGACGGUAAUCAACCAGAAAGUCACGGCUAACUACGUGCCAGCAGCCGCGGUAAUACGUAGGUGGCAAGCGGUUGUCCGGAUUUAUUGGGCGUAAAGCGAGCGCAG